RNAcentral lists this ribosomal RNA (683 nucleotides) under Bacillus mycoides. RNAcentral's name for it is "partial 16S ribosomal RNA". It matches the Rfam family "Bacterial small subunit ribosomal RNA", at positions 1 to 655 of the family's 1533-position model. Lineage: Bacteria; Bacillati; Bacillota; Bacilli; Caryophanales; Bacillaceae. The record is from RNAcentral.
CCGAAUUCGUCGACAACAGAGUUUGAUCCUGGCUCAGGAUGAACGCUGGCGGCGUGCCUAAUACAUGCAAGUCGAGCGAAUGGAUUAAGAGCUUGCUCUUAUGAAGUUAGCGGCGGACGGGUGAGUAACACGUGGGUAACCUGCCCAUAAGACUGGGAUAACUCCGGGAAACCGGGGCUAAUACCGGAUAACAUUUUGCACCGCAUGGUGCGAAAUUGAAAGGCGGCUUCGGCUGUCACUUAUGGAUGGACCCGCGUCGCAUUAGCUAGUUGGUGAGGUAACGGCUCACCAAGGCAACGAUGCGUAGCCGACCUGAGAGGGUGAUCGGCCACACUGGGACUGAGACACGGCCCAGACUCCUACGGGAGGCAGCAGUAGGGAAUCUUCCGCAAUGGACGAAAGUCUGACGGAGCAACGCCGCGUGAGUGAUGAAGGCUUUCGGGUCGUAAAACUCUGUUGUUAGGAAGAACAAGUGCUAGUUGAAUAAGCUGGCACCUUGACGGUACCUAACCAGAAAGCCACGGCUAACUACGUGCCAGCAGCCGCGGUAAUACGUAGGUGGCAAGCGUUAUCCGGAAUUAUUGGGCGUAAAGCGCGCGCAGGUGGUUUCUUAAGUCUGAUGUGAAAGCCCACGGCUCAACCGUGGAGGGUCAUUGGAAACUGGGAGACUUGAGUGCAGAAGA